UGUUGAAGUAAGAACUGCUGGCCAAAUAUACUUGGCGCCAGUCCACUUCUAUAAAACAACCUGCUGACAACUAAUAUGAUCCGUCUAGUGCGCAUGCGCAGCUAGAAAAGUAAUAUGGCCGCUAAGGUGGAGAUGCCUGUUCUGUCAGACACGAAUAGAUAACGGCGUCAAACCUUAAGCAGCAAACCUAACCUCCAUUUUGUUUUAGAUUUGUGUUUCCAAGUUUGUUAAAUCAACGAUUAAACUGUACAAAAUACCUGUAUUUGUCAAUCCACCCUUACAUGGUAAUCAGAACCCUAACAUGAUAGCAGAGCUUGUGACGACCACCCUCACAUAAUAGCAGAGCUUGUGACGAGCACCCUCACAUAAUAGCAGAGCUUGUGACGUUAAAAGCAAUCCACAAUCAACAAGAAGUUGGUGUUAAAAUGAGUUAUCAAGAAGAAAUGGAUCAAUCCCACGUGUCAACAAUGGAAGUUCCAGAAAACAUUUUCGAGAUGCUGACCAACCAGAGUUUUACUCUUACAGUUACACUUUACCCGAGGCAACCAGAACCUAUGAUUCUGUGAAGAAUGCAUUUUUAGAGGUAGCAAACUGCCAGUACUUCAGAGAGGUUGACAACAGUAUGUAUACAGGUAGUAGUUUGAAUGAUAUUUGUUCUGAAUGUUUUAAUGACACAGAUAGGAAUCUCGAGACCGAGAUCAAUGAAGUUUAUACUGCAUGUUCCUUAUGUUUUGAUUAUCCCAUUGGAGAAUCUAAUAUGUUCACGAAUAAUCUUAAUUCUGUUUCAGUUCUCUACUUUAAAUGUGGAAAGAGUGAUAAUAAUAUAUGUGAUUUCUGUUUAGAGUCGACAUGAUAGGUUAUAUAGGUAGCCCCAUACGAAGAAAGAAAAAAAAAAUUCUUUCAAAAGUCCUUCUGUCAAGUCUUCUGUUACGACAUCUGAACUGGGUUGAGCCCCCUUCUGGGACGAGCUCCCUUCCAUUCAGACAGCUGAACUUGGUUGAGCCCCCUUCUGGGUUGAACUCCCUUCCGUUCAGACAGCUGAACUGGGUUGAGCUCCCUUCUGGGUUGGGUUCCCUUCCGUUCAGCCUUUCUAGAACUUGCUUAGAGAUAGAGUGAGAAUUACGAGUGUUUUGAGAAUAAACAACUAAAAUCAUCAUCUGGUUGUUGUAGGAUGCAAAGAUACUGAAAAGUAUACUUCUGAGGAAACUGCAUCUCCUACACCAACUCUAUCAGUAGUUAAAUUAUUAUUUGCAUUAUCAGUUUCUAGAAAAUGGCAUAUUGAACAGUUGGACAUCAAAACAGCAUUUCUUUAUGGUGAAAUUGACAGACCAAAAUAU
Molecule: long non-coding RNA, 1337 nt
Organism: Harmonia axyridis
Lineage: Eukaryota; Metazoa; Arthropoda; Insecta; Coleoptera; Coccinellidae
Exons: 2
Source: RefSeq, a predicted model, not a curated record